RNAcentral lists this long non-coding RNA (1384 nucleotides) under Ictidomys tridecemlineatus (thirteen-lined ground squirrel). RNAcentral's name for it is "lncRNA (ENSSTOG00000002271.3)". Lineage: Eukaryota; Metazoa; Chordata; Mammalia; Rodentia; Sciuridae. The record is from RNAcentral.
AAUAAAACUUUCUGCACUAACCCAUCGAACUGCAGGUUUCUCUGGACCGCUGUGGACACACUAUUCUGAAAAUUGUGCUUGACUGGAUUUUCUGUUAGAGGGAUUUUGUUGCUACUGUCCUUAUCAAGAUGAUUACAACACCUUUAAAACAUCCAAGAAUUCAUUUGUCUUCAGAGACCUCUUCUCAAAAAAGAAAUAUGUCCAUGGAUGCAAUCUUUUUUGACAACAUUCCUUCAGGCACACUUACUCCUAUAAAAGAUUUGGUCAAAUAUCAGAAUUCCUCUUUAAAAUCUAAUGACCACAAAAAGAAUCAGUCUUUAGAAAUGACAACUCCUAAGAAUAAAAACAUAUUUCAAUCUACCAUGCUAACAGAGGUUACUACAUCUAACAGUUGUCUUGAUAUCAGUGCUAUCAAGUCCAACAUGGAUGCAUUAAAAAGUAAAGCAAACUAUGAAUCACCAGGAAAAAUAUUUCAAAGAAUGAAAGAAAAAGUACUGCGUGAUAAGCAAGAACAAGCAUCAAGAAACAAUAGUUUGUUGGAACCACCGAAAAGUGAAAAUCAUAAAAUCUUUACUCCUAACAAAAAUGAGAAAAGACUAUUGCAGCAUACCUGCUUCUAUGAAGAAAAGGAAAACAACUCAUUCUUAUCAGAUAACAAUUCACUAAGAGCCUCAGUUCAAGAAGUUCCUCUAGAAUCAUCAAAUAUUCUUCCCAUUAAACAAAAGAUUCAAGACCAGAAGGAAAAGAAAGCACAACUGCACAAUUUAACUUAUGAACUUCCAGUUCUAAACCAAGAAAAUGUUUCAGUUGCAGAAGUAUCAAAUAAGGCAUUAAUUAGAGCUCAACUAACUAAACAAAUUCUGCACUCAAAAGAGAAUACAACUAGAACCACCAAUUCCAAAAAGGACACGUUUGUUUUAGAAGGCAAUGAUUCUGCUUAUGAAAAAUUCCAAGAUACUAAUGUUGAGAUUCUUAAUACUAAUUGUGUUCCUAUUAAAAAUGGUAAUCAAUUAAUGGUUUCUGAUAGUGAAGUGAUAAAAGAUGGGACUUCACAAGAAGAAAUUAAGGAACAAAAUGAAAAGUCAGUGUCUAUAAUGACUUGCCUUCCAGAUUCCAUGAAUGAUACAUGUAAAAUUAUACUUGCAAGUCCAAGAUUACAUUUAACACUGCCUCGGAAUUCAAAAAGAAAUAUUUCAAAGCUUUCUCCUCAAAGUGUAAUUCCAACUAUUACAAAUGAAGUUAAAAAAAAAAGUCAGGUAGGAAAUUUUUUAAGGCAGAUAUUUAUUUCUGUUUGUACCACUUGUUCUUAGCUGUGUUUUUUUGUUUGUUUUUGUGAUUCUAGGGAUGGAACCCAGGGCCUUGCGCAUGCUAAGCAAGCACACUA